Molecule: ribosomal RNA, 445 nt
Filed under: uncultured bacterium
Lineage: Bacteria
Description: partial 16S ribosomal RNA
Rfam family: Bacterial small subunit ribosomal RNA
Source: RNAcentral
GUGAGGAAUAUUGCGCAAUGGAGGCAACUCUGACGCAGCCAUGCCGCGUGCAGGAAGAAGGCGCUACGCGUUGUAAACUGCUUUUAACCGGGAAGAAACCCCAGGACGUGUCCUGGGUUGACGGUACCGGAGGAAUAAGCACCGGCUAACUUCGUGCCAGCAGCCGCGGUAAUACGAAGGGUGCACGCGUUAACCGGAUUCAUUGGGUUUAAAGGGUGCGUAGGCGGAGCGUUAAGUCAGUGGUGAAAUCCUGCAGCUUAACUGUAGACUUGCCAUUGAUACUGGCGCUCUUGAGUGCGCUUGAAGUGGGCGGAAUGUGCCGUGUAGCGGUGAAAUGCUUAGAUAUGGCACAGAACACCAAUUGCGAAGGCAGCUCACUAAGGCGAUACUGACGCUGAGGCACGAAAGCGUGGGGAUCGAACAGGAUUAGAAACCCCUGUAGUCC